Molecule: long non-coding RNA, 1030 nt
Organism: Dreissena polymorpha
Lineage: Eukaryota; Metazoa; Mollusca; Bivalvia; Myida; Dreissenidae
Exons: 2
Source: RefSeq, a predicted model, not a curated record
UGGUACUAAUUCGGCAAGCGUCAUAAUGAGAAAACUCAUUCGAAAUGACAUCGCUUAACUUGCGCUGAAUUUUGAUACAUUGCCUAAGGUUUUCUGUGAUUUUACCAUUUAUCUUAUUUAAGUAAUAUAAAUAUCGGCAUAGACUAGUACUUGAAAGAAUUUUUUAGCAAACAAAUAGUUGAUUUUGACCUUUUUAUGUCAAUGAGCUGAGUUAUUACUUCCCUUUUACCAAAGUCGGCCACCGAAUAUUUCAAUGAGCUGACUUGUUACUCCCGUUUUAACGAAUUUGGCAACGGCUAGUUUAUAGCCACACACAAUUUUUCAACUCAUGUUGAUACCGUUUUCAGCUCGAUGCUAAUAAUAAUGUUUGAAUUCGUCUUUGAAAAGAAUAACAUCAGACAUGCCAGCUGGAAGAUAAAAAACCAGACAGGGUCAAUGUGCAGAAGAUGUAAAGUAAUACUGGACCUUCUUGGGAAGAAGUUUCAUAACCUAUUGUAUACCAAAACAAUCCAACAGGAAACACUAAGCCUCUCUGCUCAAUGUCUUUGCUAUAAGAGGAAGAAUAAGAAUGCUGUGCAAAAGGAACUAUUCCUGUCUAUCCCACUUGCAGAUGUAGCAAUGCCAACAAUAUGUGACUAAUUACUCAUAGUACACCUAGUUGCUGUAAUAUUUUCAAAUCAUGAGCAGUCUAUCAUUAUGUGCUGCAACAAUUGUAGAUUUAAGAGUUAUAAACUUCCUCAAGACCGCACUCAUAUUUAUUGAAUAUGUUUGAAUGUAUAAUACAUUUUACAAAUACUCAUUUUAUUAUGCAGUUUUUUAUUAUUUUAAUUCAUUCUAAUAUUAUAUGUCAACUUAAACAACUGUAUGCAUUUUUAAUUUUUACAAUAGUAACCAUGGCGACCACAAAGUUGUGAUCAUUGCCAUGCAACUAACACUUAAAAAUAAAUGAUUCCUGAAUGUAUUGUCAUUUAAUAGGUUUUAAGAUAGCCAUGUGUAAACUAAUUGUACGAUUAAAUGAAUAUUAAACAAA